This 29-nucleotide non-coding RNA is filed under the name Haloarcula marismortui. The record is from RNAcentral. RNAcentral also lists the same sequence under 1 other name. Lineage: Archaea; Methanobacteriati; Methanobacteriota; Halobacteria; Halobacteriales; Haloarculaceae.
GGGUGCUCAGUACGAGAGGAACCGCACCC